This 253-nucleotide ribosomal RNA is filed under the name uncultured bacterium. Its description in RNAcentral is "partial 16S ribosomal RNA". It matches the Rfam family "Bacterial small subunit ribosomal RNA", at positions 524 to 776 of the family's 1533-position model. The record is from RNAcentral.
UACAGAGGGGGCAAGCGUUAUUCGGAAUUAUUGGGCGUAAAGGGCGCGUAGGCGGCUUUUCAAGUGACGGGUGAAAUCCCUCGGCUUAACCGAGGAACUGCCUGUCAGACUGGAAGGCUUGAGUCCGGGAGAGGUGAGUGGAAUUCCCAGUGUAGCGGUGAAAUGCGUAGAUAUUGGGAGGAACACCAGUGGCGAAGGCGGCUCACUGGACCGGAACUGACGCUGAGGCGCGAAAGCGUGGGGAGCAAACAGG